This 416-nucleotide unclassified non-coding RNA is filed under the name soil metagenome. Its description in RNAcentral is "partial contains 5.8S ribosomal RNA, internal transcribed spacer 2, and large subunit ribosomal RNA". The stretch from base 1 to 120 matches the Rfam family "5.8S ribosomal RNA", at positions 35 to 154 of the family's 154-position model. The record is from RNAcentral.
GAUGAAGAACGCAGCGAAAUGCGAUAAGUAAUGUGAAUUGCAGAAUUCAGUGAAUCAUCGAAUCUUUGAACGCAUCUUGCGCUCCUUGGUAUUCCUUGGAGCAUGCCUGUUUGAGUAUCAUGAGCAAAUCUCAAAGUCAAUUCCUUUUGUUAAUUCAAUUGGUUUUGCUUUGGACUUGGAGGUCUUGCAGAUUUCACAGUCUGCUCCUCUUAAAUGCAUUAGCUGGAUCUCAGUAAUUAUGCUUGGUUCCACUCGGCGUGAUAAGUAUCACUCGCUGAGGACACUGUUAAAAAGGUGGCCAGGAAAAUACUGAUUGAACCGCUUCUAACGGUCUAUUAAGUUAGACAAUUACCCUUAAGUUUGAUCUCAAAUCAGGUAGGACUACCCGCUGAACUUAAGCAUAUCAAUAAGCGAGG